UUCCUCCCUUUCUCACUCUCUCGGCACUCUCUCUCUCUUCUCCUCCGAAAACUCUCUCCUCUCUUCUCUCUUCGAUUUCAUCUACUUAGGGGGUGAUUCCGGACAAGACCCGAGAAUUAAAAUUGUUAUACGGCGCAUGGGCUUUCCGAAUAUCCAAGAAAAAUCAUGAUCGGACCGCGUGGGAGCUUGGUUGACUUGGUCAAAGGUUCGGGUUUUGCUCAAAACCCAUGAGGUACACUACAUGGACACAGUCUUGGAGGGUGUGAAGUGCAUGCAGACAUCACAGGCUAAAGUUAUUUUCUGAAGAACUUGUCUUUCCCUUGUAAAUCAAACUGUAUUGUAUUAUUUUCUCUAACUUGGAAUACUGUAUCAGUUGACAAAUUGUGAGAUUUAGAAACUGUAUGUCGUAAUUUGGGGUACCGUAUAUACUAUUAUGAGGAUUUGUAAUUAAAAUGGUAUUGUUAUUUAUGUUAAAAA
Molecule: long non-coding RNA, 477 nt
Organism: Rhododendron vialii
Lineage: Eukaryota; Viridiplantae; Streptophyta; Magnoliopsida; Ericales; Ericaceae
Exons: 2
Source: RefSeq, a predicted model, not a curated record